RNAcentral lists this ribosomal RNA (250 nucleotides) under uncultured prokaryote. Its description in RNAcentral is "partial 16S ribosomal RNA". It matches the Rfam family "Bacterial small subunit ribosomal RNA", at positions 524 to 773 of the family's 1533-position model. The record is from RNAcentral.
UACGUAGGGAGCGAGCGUUAUCCGGAUUUAUUGGGUGUAAAGGGCGCGUAGACGGAUCUGCAAGUCGGAUGUGAAAUCCCUGGGCUCAACCCAGGAACUGCAUCCAAAACUGUAGACCUUGGGUAUGGGAGAGGAGAGCGGAAUUCCUAGUGUAGCGGUGAAAUGCGUAGAUAUUAGGAGGAACACCAGUGGCGUAGGCGGCUUUCUGGACCAAAACUGACGUUGAGGCGCGAAAGUGUGGGGAGCAAAC